GACGAGCGCUGGCGGCGUGCUUAACACAUGCCAGUCGAACGGAAAGGCCCUGCUUGCAGGGUACUCGAGUGGCGAACGGGUGAGUAACACGUGGGUGAUCUGCCCUGCACUUCGGGAUAAGCCUGGGAAACUGGGUCUAAUACCGGAUAGGAGCCAUUUUUAGUGUGAUGGUUGGAAAGUUUUUUCGGUGUAGGAUGAGCUCGCGGCCUAUCAGCUUGUUGGUGGGGUAAUGGCCUACCAAGGCGGCGACGGGUAGCCGGCCGGAGAGGGUGGACGGCCACAUUGGGACUGAGAUACGGCCCAGACUCCUACGGGAGGCAGCAGUGGGGAAUAUUGCACAAUGGGCGCAAGCCUGAUGCAGCGACGCCGCGUGGGGGAUGACGGCCUUCGGGUUGUAAACUCCUUUCGCUAGGGACGAAGCUUUUUGUGACGGUACCUAGAUAAGAAGCACCGGCUAACUACGUG
This 465-nucleotide ribosomal RNA is filed under the name uncultured bacterium. RNAcentral describes it as "partial 16S ribosomal RNA". It matches the Rfam family "Bacterial small subunit ribosomal RNA", at positions 28 to 507 of the family's 1533-position model. The record is from RNAcentral.